Molecule: RNA transcript, 883 nt
Organism: Amphimedon queenslandica
Lineage: Eukaryota; Metazoa; Porifera; Demospongiae; Haplosclerida; Niphatidae
Gene name: IQ domain-containing protein G-like
Exons: 7
Source: RefSeq, a predicted model, not a curated record
UAGUCCUAUUGAUGGCAUUCGUAUCAUUAAAAACACUAGGACUGGCAUUAACAAAGGGUUUGCUUAUGUUAAAUUCAAGGACAGCAGCUCUGUCUUAUUGGCUUGCAAGAAAAACAAAAGAAUUAAACUAGAGGGAUAGAAACUAAGAAUCUUUCGCUGUUGCAGCGAUAAAUCAAAGUUCCAGACUAAAUUUGGAGGAGCCAAUGAGCAUGAUUGCAGGCAACUGGUGAAGGACUUAAGGAAACAAUUGGUUGAAGUGAAAAGAGAAAAAGAAGAACAAAUCACAAAAUUAGAUGAAGAUGUUGCUCACUGCAAGGAUCAGUUACAAGAACUUAAAGCUCGCACCGAACUACUUAAUAAAUACAUUAAAAAACAAUCAGACGUCAAAGUUCAGUGCAGUCAGAGACAGCAGCAGAAUAAAGAGUCUGACCUUUAUAACGAGAGGGAGAGACUGAAACAAGAACUAGCAAAAGAGAAGAGAGCACAUGCUGAGAUUGAAAACUACCUCAAGAAACACAUUGAAGAUCUUGAUGGUAAGGUUUAGUACUGGAUGUCAAAGUAUGAAGAAGACUUGGAAAUGAAGACCACUGAAGUACAAGAGACUAAGUCAGCCAAAGCAGCAGGACUACAGAAACUGGACGAACUAUCACAAACUUAUAUGGAGAGGGAGGAGGUUGUGAUUGAGCACAGAGCAAUGAAGGAGAGACAAAGACUCAAAGAAGAACAAGAGAAGAAAGAAAACACGACAGCAACCAAACUACAGGCCUGGUGGAGAGGUAUGAUGGUUAGGAAGGGAAUGGGUCCUUUAAGAAAGGGAGUAAGAAGAAAGGAAAGAAGGGAGGCAAGAAAGGAAAGUCAAACAAAAAAUAAAAACAACUAUAAC